Molecule: ribosomal RNA, 563 nt
Filed under: uncultured bacterium
Lineage: Bacteria
Description: partial 16S ribosomal RNA
Rfam family: Bacterial small subunit ribosomal RNA
Source: RNAcentral
UGGGGAAUUUUGGACAAUGGGGGAAACCCUGAUCCAGCCAUCCCGCGUGUGCGAUGAAGGCCUUCGGGUUGUAAAGCACUUUUGGCAGGAAAGAAACGUCGCGGGUUAAUACCCCGCGAAACUGACGGUACCUGCAGAAUAAGCACCGGCUAACUACGUGCCAGCAGCCGCGGUAAUACGUAGGGUGCAAGCGUUAAUCGGAAUUACUGGGCGUAAAGCGUGCGCAGGCGGUUCGGAAAGAAAGAUGUGAAAUCCCAGAGCUUAACUUUGGAACUGCAUUUUUAACUACCGGGCUAGAGUGUGUCAGAGGGAGGUGGAAUUCCGCGUGUAGCAGUGAAAUGCGUAGAUAUGCGGAGGAACGCCGAUGGCGAAGGCAGCCUCCUGGGAUAACACUGACGCUCAUGCACGAAAGCGUGGGGAGCAAACAGGAUUAGAUACCCUGGUAGUCCACGCCCUAAACGAUGUCAACUAGCUGUUGGGGCCUUCGGGCCUUGGUAGCGCAGCUAACGCGUGAAGUUGACCGCCUGGGGAGUACGGUCGCAAGAUUAAAACUCAAAGGAAUU